Molecule: ribosomal RNA, 253 nt
Filed under: uncultured bacterium
Lineage: Bacteria
Description: partial 16S ribosomal RNA
Rfam family: Bacterial small subunit ribosomal RNA
Source: RNAcentral
UACGUAGGUGGCAAGCGUUGUCCGGAUUUAUUGGGUUUAAAGGGUGCGUAGGCGGCUUUUUAAGUCAGUGGUGAAAGCCGAUCGCUUAACGAUCGAACUGCCAUUGAUACUGAGAGGCUUGAGUAUAGUUGAGGUAGGCGGAAUUGACAGUGUAGCGGUGAAAUGCAUAGAUAUUGGGAAGAAGAACGAUUGCGAAGGCAGCUUACGAAAGUAUAACUGACGCUGAGGCACGAAAGUGCGGGGAGCAAACAGG